This 392-nucleotide long non-coding RNA is filed under the name Heterocephalus glaber (naked mole-rat). RNAcentral's name for it is "lncRNA (ENSHGLG00100043355.1)". Lineage: Eukaryota; Metazoa; Chordata; Mammalia; Rodentia; Bathyergidae. The record is from RNAcentral.
GUAUGAAUUUGGGCAGGGGGGAAGAUGGGCAACUUGGUCCAUUACAGUGGGUAAAGGUGUCAGCUUUUCUGAGAAACAUUUGAGGAAGAAUGGAUUAGGCUGAAUCCAUCAUUCUCAACUGUCAGUCAGACCAGAGCCUGUGAUGGUAAAAUUUGGCUGACCAAAGGGACCAAAGGCCUGAAGUCAUCCUGGUACCUGUCAUGGGCUGAAUGCUUGUGCUCCCUUGUCAUUGGUCAGGUCUGAAGAAGUCCCACCAAUGGAGAGAAUGGAGACUUCAACUCACCUCCACCCACAGACGCCUUCUUCAAGAACCCUAAAUGCUUUACAGACAUUAUUUCUAAUUAAUCCCCACAACAACCCUGUGAGCAAACCAAACAGACCAAGAUUGAACU